RNAcentral lists this ribosomal RNA (484 nucleotides) under uncultured bacterium. RNAcentral describes it as "partial 16S ribosomal RNA". It matches the Rfam family "Bacterial small subunit ribosomal RNA", at positions 30 to 507 of the family's 1533-position model. The record is from RNAcentral.
AUUGAACGCUGGCGGCAGGCCUAACACAUGCGAGUCGAGCGGAUGAUGGGAGCUUGCUCCUGGAUUCAGCGGCGGACGGGUGAGUAAUGCCUAGGAAUCUGCCUGGUAGUGGGGGAUAACGUCCGGAAACGGGCGCUAAUACCGCAUACGUCCUGAGGGAGAAAGUGGGGGAUCUUCGGACCUCACGCUAUCAGAUGAGCCUAGGUCGGAUUAGCUAGUUGGUGGGGUAAAGGCCUACCAAGGCGACGAUCCGUAACUGGUCUGAGAGGAUGAUCAGUCACACUGGAACUGAGACACGGUCCAGACUCCUACGGGAGGCAGCAGUGGGGAAUAUUGGACAAUGGGCGAAAGCCUGAUCCAGCCAUGCCGCGUGUGUGAAGAAGGUCUUCGGAUUGUAAAGCACUUUAAGUUGGGAGGAAGGGCAGUAAGUUAAUACCUUGCUGUUUUGACGUUACCAACAGAAUAAGCACCGGCUAACUUCGUG